GAUGAAGAACGUAGCGAAAUGCGAUAAGUAAUGUGAAUUGCAGAAUUCAGUGAAUCAUCGAAUCUUUGAACGCACAUUGCGCCCAUUAGUAUUCUAGUGGGCAUCCCUGUUCGAGCGUCAUUUCAACCCUUAAGCCUAGCUUAGUAUUGGGAAUCGACUUUACUGUCGUUCCUCAAAUUCAACGGCGGAUUUAUAGCAAUCUCUGAACGUAGUAAUUUUUUUUCUCGUUUUUGAAAUACUAUAAACCUCAGCCGCUAAACCCCCAAUUUCUUAUGGUUGACCUCGGAUCAGGUAGGAAUACCCGCUGAACUUAAGCAUAUCAAUAAGCGGAGGA
Molecule: unclassified non-coding RNA, 334 nt
Filed under: soil metagenome
Description: partial contains 5.8S ribosomal RNA, internal transcribed spacer 2, and large subunit ribosomal RNA
Rfam family: 5.8S ribosomal RNA (bases 1-120)
Source: RNAcentral